This 108-nucleotide ribosomal RNA is filed under the name Vibrio alginolyticus. RNAcentral describes it as "partial 16S ribosomal RNA". It matches the Rfam family "Bacterial small subunit ribosomal RNA", at positions 1426 to 1533 of the family's 1533-position model. The record is from RNAcentral. RNAcentral also lists the same sequence under 3 other names. Lineage: Bacteria; Pseudomonadati; Pseudomonadota; Gammaproteobacteria; Vibrionales; Vibrionaceae.
GUAGGUAGUUUAACCUUCGGGGGGACGCUUACCACUUUGUGGUUCAUGACUGGGGUGAAGUCGUAACAAGGUAGCGCUAGGGGAACCUGGCGCUGGAUCACCUCCUUA